This 253-nucleotide ribosomal RNA is filed under the name uncultured bacterium. Its description in RNAcentral is "partial 16S ribosomal RNA". It matches the Rfam family "Bacterial small subunit ribosomal RNA", at positions 524 to 776 of the family's 1533-position model. The record is from RNAcentral.
UACAUGGGGUGCAAACGUUGCUCGGAAUUAUUGGGCGUAAAGCGCACGUAGGUGGUCUGUUAUGUCAGAUGUGAAAGCCCUCGGCUUAACUGAGGAAGUGCACCUGAAACUGGCAGGCUUGAGUACGAAAGAGGGUCGCGGAAUUCCCGGUGUAGAGGUGAAAUUCGUAGAUAUCGGGAGGAACACCAGUGGCGAAGGCGACUACCUGGCCUGUUCUUGACGCUGAGGCGCGAAAGCUAGGGGAGCAAACGGG